This 2649-nucleotide long non-coding RNA is filed under the name Hordeum vulgare. RNAcentral's name for it is "long non-coding RNA (HVUL_LNC021461)". The stretch from base 901 to 988 matches the Rfam family "MIR1120/MIR1122 microRNA precursor family". Lineage: Eukaryota; Viridiplantae; Streptophyta; Magnoliopsida; Poales; Poaceae. The record is from RNAcentral.
UCAUAUGUUAACACUACUAACAAACCAUAAUCCACAUAAUGAUUAAUACACUCUUAAUUCCCGAACCUGAACCUGAACCUGCAAAAUAUAUACAAUAAAAAUUGCAUCUAGGCCAGGCUUAGGUGAUAUCUUGAAUUAUUGAGUAGGAAAUCAAGAUAUUUACUGUCAAAAUCAAAAUGCACAUACAUCAUGAAUGGAGGCAAUUCUAGAUACCUAGCUGAGCAGAAGAUUAUCAACUACAAAACCUGACCUUAGCGAUGCUUUCCAAGGCUUCCAAGCCAUCAAAACCUUUGAACACCUUUCAAGUUUUCAUUUACAAACCCUGGCUACAGCACAAUUGAUCCGUUACUUAUAAAUGACAACAAAAGAGAGAGAUGGCUAUCAAUGCAUUUCCAUUCGAAAUGUUCGCAUGAAAGGAUGCAGUUUCGAUAGUACAUUAGUUAAGUGCCUAGCUGAGCAGAAGAUUAUCAAAUACUGGAGCAGACCUUGCCAUGCUUUACAAGGCUUCCAAGCCAAACUUAUUUGAUCAAAACCUUUCAGCAUUUUUCAUUCAAAAACUCAGGCUACAGCAGAAUUGACCCUUGACUUACAAAUGGCAACAAAAGAGAGAAAUGGUUGACGAAGCUAGAUAACAAAUGUUUGUACUAAUUUAUUUUGAAAAGGUACAAUAAGGUUCAUAGUAGAAUGCUCUGCUGCAGGCUUUUCGUGAAUGCUCUGCUGCAGGCUUUUCGUGAAUGCUCUGCUGCAGGCAUUUCGUCUGCAACAGCUGACCAAGAGGAUGUGCUGGAAACCGGCAUGCCUUUGAGAAUGGUCUUGCAUUCACGGAAUACAGACAUGCCAUUGACAAUCAUCUUGCAUUCACAGAAUAAGAAACGAUAUUUCAAUGAGCUGUCCAGUAAAAUACUCCCUCCGUCCCAUAAUAUAAGAGCGUUUUGCAAGCUAUGUUAGCUUGCAAAACGCUCUUAUAUUGUGAGAUAGGAGGGAAUAUUUACCAUGCUGUAACUGAUAACUAGAGAUGAAGUGCCACUAAAGAAGUUUGAUACCAUCAACCUUCGAACUAAAACUGUGACACUUACUUUGGAACGGAGAGGGUAGAAAAGAAGUAUAGAAAAUAUCAGAUUGGUACAUGAUUUUUGUUUAGGAAGUGAUGAAGUAUAUGCAUCACAUCAACAUCUCACUUGGCUGAAUCUCACUCAUAUUCCCUUUUCUCUUGUCCGUACCGGCACAAGCCAGCACGCCGCCCAAGUCGCUGGCAGCAAAGACAGAAAUAGCUAACAAGCAGCACCCUCUGAGGCACAACAGUUGCAAGAGCAGGCACUUCAUUUGCACUCAAAACUCGUUUCACCUUGUCCUUGUCUAGGUUAAUUCUGACCACUACAUAAGUUACCAUCUUUGUACAAACUUUGACAGAUCUAAACUUUAUAAAUAAUCCAUAUCUCACAGCAACAGAAUACACCUCGUCGAAAGAACAAAAUAUAUGGAUCUGUGCUAUGAUAUUGCUUAAUACUGAUAAGCAUUUCAUUCAGAAGUGGGACGAAGAAUUCAAUACAAAAGGGUCAUAUAUCUAUAAAAACAGGGCUCUCUUCUCCACCGGUGCCAUUUACUUGAGAGAGCUGUCUCAAUGCAAACAUAAGACAUAUCAACAUCUCACCUUACUGAAUCUCACUCCUAUUCCUUUCUCUGUCCGUACUGGCACAAGCCAGCAUGCCGCCCAAGUCGCAAGCAGCAAAGACAUUUCUCCGUCCGUACCAGCACAAGCCAGCAUGCCGCCCAAGUCGCAAGCAGCCAAGACAGAAAUGCUAGCAGGCAGCCCGAUUAGGCCCAACAGUGGCAAGAGCUAGUACUCCGUUUGCACUUAAAACUUGUUUCACUCCGCCCUUAUGUAGGUUAAUUCUGACCACUACACAAGUUACCGAUUUGUAGCAAUUUGAAGAGAUACCUGAACUGUGUAUAAAUAAUCCAAAUACCACAACAGAAUACCCCUCACCAAAAGAACAAUAUAUAUGGAUCUAUGAUGUGAUAUUUUUUAAUACUGAUAAGCAUUUCAUUCAGAUGUGAGGCAAGGAAUUCAAGACGAAAGGGUCAUAUCUAAAAAAAAAACAGGGCUCUCUUCUCCACCAGUGGUGGCAUAUAUGAGAGAGCAAUUAAUAGGUCGCUGCAAAUAACUAAUUACUGAAUUAUCCAACAAAUGUUCAACCAAUAAUCAUCAUGUCCACUGGUGGGUGGUCGCACAUGGUUGACAGGGAUUAACUUACAAUGAACUGAUAACUUCAAGGCAUCCCGUAGGUAAAUUAUCAGAACACUAAGGAAACUAAAUAUGAUUUAUUCAAAUGAAAACUAGUCUUGUUUUUACCAGCACCCGAGAGUUUUCCAGCAGUAAGACCCCGUUUUACGGCAAACAGAGUCCACAUUUUUUGAUCAAAAUAAAGUGCAGCAUUUCAUGACAAUGGCGUGCAUCCUAGAGAAUAUAGAACCAGAAAACAAACAACUCCUUAAGGGAUCAAUGUAGCAAUACUGAAGGCAAUGAUGAGAUUACCUGAACUCUGAACAGAUUUAAAAAUUAUCAAUUUGUCAACCAAGGAAACAGUAAUCAGUUACCAAAGGAAACUACUAGCAAGAAAACAUUCCAAGAUAGGAUAGUAUACUGAC